This is a long non-coding RNA of Oncorhynchus nerka (sockeye salmon), 458 nucleotides long. RefSeq lists it as uncharacterized. NCBI's taxonomy places the organism in Eukaryota, Metazoa, Chordata, Actinopteri, Salmoniformes, Salmonidae. The transcript has 3 exons. The record is from RefSeq and is a predicted model, not a curated record.
UAGCAUACAUCUCUCAAAAAAACUCAUUCCGAACUUUUAGAUAGUUAGGGACAGAACUAUUUUUUAACGUUGUCAGCAUUGCUUUAGCGCAAACAUAAAGGCCCGAAUAUUGAGCUGCACGGACAGAUUAAAAUAAUAAUAAUAAUAUUCGGAAUAAGGGAAUCUCGCAUAAUGGAUAUUUCUGGAGGAUCCCCGACAUUUACGCAGCUUUUACGCGAUUUACCUGAUCUGGAACAUGAUGGGGGUUCGCAGGAGCAAAAGUCUGGCAGACAAUCACCAACGGCCUUUUUUCGUUCCGACAUACAGCCCUUUAUGAUAAAGGAUGCGUUACGGACAGCUGACACGCAGGACUUUGAUGCAAUUCUACCGUUCACUGUGGCCCAAGUACACUGCUCAGAAUCAAGCCCACCCGAAAACUACUGUUGGGCCGGGAACUUGCUGCUUCACGAGCCGGCGCU